CCCUCAGGACCAGGCAGCCCCUUCCCUCAGCACCACGAGCCUCUUAUUUUGGUUACACAUUCCAGGUUUUUAGACAUUUGUCUAACGUUUGACUGAAUUAACUUGAACCUUCUACACAACUCGACUUCCUCUUUGUCUUUUCGAGGCAGUGAUUUUCAUCUGCCACUGCCAGCUGUGAAAUGACACCCAUAGCAGCAGACCCUGCGUAGCUGAUUUUCAGUGGAGGGGUAUACUUUUUAUGGAAUGAAAGGACUACUACACAAAUGAUCAUAAAAUCGCCUGUUGGUAGAGGUAGCCUACUUGUUAGCUGAACUGCUCCAUAUAAGCUGGCUCACUGCUCAGCCUGAAGCUGCAGCUAAUGAAAUACUUGUCUGGAGCAAUUAGUCCAAGCUGGAGUCUCUGCCCUUCAGUUGUAUUGCACCCAAGGCUGGUGACUGCCAGUGGGAUGGAGCCCAUGUGAUACUGAGCUGCACAGAU
Molecule: long non-coding RNA, 477 nt
Organism: Chiroxiphia lanceolata (lance-tailed manakin)
Lineage: Eukaryota; Metazoa; Chordata; Aves; Passeriformes; Pipridae
Exons: 3
Source: RefSeq, a predicted model, not a curated record